GUCUUGCUACUACCUGGCGCGCGACGUGGCCUUAUUGUGCGCCCUCUUCUUCUCGGCUGACACGUACAUUCCCUCCCUCACGUGGCCGCUUCAAUGGGUGGCGUGGCCUAUCUACUGGGCCGCGGCGGGGACCAUGGCCUUCGGAUUGUGGUUUCACGGCCACGAGUGCAUCCACGACGCCUUCAGCAACCACAAGUGGAUCAACGAUGCGGUCGGAUUUGUCGUUUUCACGGGUCUUCUCGUGCCGUAUUUCCCGUGGAAGUGCUCGCACAUCAAGCACCACGCCAACACGGGCACUCUCGAGAAAGACGAGGCUGUCGUCCCGAAACAGAGGCCCUCGAAAGCUAGGAGGUUCCUGAACAACCGCUUGGGCCGCAUUCUCAUCAUGGGGCUGAUGUUGACGAUAGGGUACCCGGCAUACCUACUGUUCCACAUCACAGGACGCAGCUACCCUCAACGCAACAACCACUUCUGGCCGUUCAGCCCUAUGAUACCGCGACGCAUGCGCCCCUGGGUGUUCUUGUCCGACUUCGGAGUGCUCGCUGUGCUAGUUUCACUCGCCUGGCUAGUACACUUGCACGGCGUUGCUUGGUUGGCCACUCGCUAUUGGGCCCCGUAUAUGGUCGUCAACGCUUGGCUAGUUGCGUCCACGCUCAAUCAUGCUCACCCGGCACUGGCGCACUAUGACGAGGACACGUGGGACUGGCUCCUAGGGACGCUGACCUGCACGAUGGACCGUGAUUUCGGGCCGCUGCUAAACUGGGUGUUUCACGAUGGCCUCAAUUUCCACACGGUGCACCACGUGUUCCCGCGGAUCCCGCACUACCACUUGCGCGAGGCGACGGAGGCGCUGAAACCCGUGCUCGGCGAGUACUACCACAGCGACGCCACACCCCCGCAUCGAGCCCUCUAUCAGGUCGUCAAGGAGUGCGUCUUCGUCCGCGAAGACCUAGACCAGAGAGGGGUCUACUGGUACGAGGGACUCUUCGACAUGUAGUGAGGACGUGCCUAUACUGACGUGAUAGCGAAGAGAGCCGUAAGUGCAAAAUUUUCGAAAUCGAGUUUUCUUCAAAAUUCGUCUAAACUCUUUUAGAUGAAAUUACUGAGACAGCGAAAACAGCAAAAUUCGUCCUAAUUUAAUGAAAACGAGACGUAUGAGAAACCCGUAAGCGCACAAAAAAUGACUAUAGUUUUUUUCAAGACAGCCGUAGGUGCAUGAGAACCAAUGAAAACAGUGCUCUUCAGUAAAGUGCCGCCCUCUUCUGCCAAUUUCUAACCUGAAAAUGUGUUUGUUGUGCGUUCAAAACGCAACCACGAAAGCAUGCAGAAGAUAGCACUUUCGGCUGCCUUGCCUAACAAUAACCUAACACGAAACUGAAUUUUACCUUUUUCAUGUACUUUAAAAUAAAAUCGGUCGAGUCUGAAUCCCCCAAAUGAUUUCUAGGAGUCUUCCGGACGAAUAGUGGCAAUUUGACAAAGAACGGAGGCUUCUUUCAAUAAAAUGUUCCGGUCAGAAGCUUCUGAGCCCGUUUUCUCAGAACUUCAUUUUUGCAGUUACGGCUCUCUUCGCUAUCACGGCAGUAUAGAGAUCAUGACCAUAGAAUAAAUAGACUACGCCAACAGAAGCGAAAGCUCCGUAAGAACCAAUGUUAACAUUUGUCUUCCCGGGGUCGGUCAAUCUUCGUACUUAUUGAAACCUGAUUUGAGGUUAACCUACGAUUAUAGUUGGAAAGAAAGAUAAAAUUUUAAGCAACCCUACAGUACUUCUCCGGAAUAACAUUUCAAUUCCUAAAAACGUCUGUUUCCCAUCCGGCCUCUCCAGAACGUCGACAUGCCGCAGAUGUAAACAGUACGUAUUGACACAGUUUCGCUUCGAUGACAUAAAAAUGGCGGAGGCUUUCGCUUCCGUUGAUGUAGUCUAUUUAUUCUAUGUCAUGACCAAUCCCACGGAGAGUGGAAUAAGAAUGGUUUUAGAGAUUACAGACUAACGUGAGUUGGAGAGUGGAGGAAACACUGUAGCGCAAAUGUUUAAAUAUAUGCUAUCUUUGGACAGUUUUCUCCGUUUUAACCCAUUCACCCAAGUAGCAGUGAUCGCGAUAAAGUGCGAUUUGAUUGGAGAAUGUAACGUGAUUUUAGCAACGUCGAUUUAUUGCUAUGAUAUCGGAUGAUUGCGAUUAAUUGCGAUUUCAUCGCAUUUUGCAAUAAAACUGCGAUUUUAUCGACGGCGCAACAUUGUCGAACAGAAAAUUUUGAUAAAUUCCGAUAAAAUUUCGAUUUUAUCGAACGCAAUUUCUUAGAGAUAAAAUUGCGACGAGAUUGAGGAUAAUCGCUCGGAUUUUGAUGAUCCUAGCGAUUUUUUGGUUGAAGAAUGCUACGUACUUAGGCAACUUGUAUGAAUUUUACGCCUGUUUUUCAUUUCAAAUGUAUUGUUGAACUAUAGUUUACUGUGACGAAUUUAGGGAAAUAAGGAUUUCUGGGAGCAGCAAAAAAUGAAAAAAACCAGCGACCAUUAUCCAGCGGUUUUAAAAAAGAGGGGCGCAGAAUGAAAUUAAAUCUUCCCUCAUCUCGAUGGUUAUCGACGGUGUAAGUCGGCAAUCACAUAACUCGGAAAACGCGAUUUUCAGGAGAGGGGAAAAACUCUCCACAUUCCUCAUCUUUGAAGGUAGAGGGGAAAUAAUUCUUAGAGACAGCAAGGAUUAGAUGCUUUAUAAGACUCUAUCAUCAUUUUGAAUAAUAUUCCCGUAUGUCAGGAGAAAUGACCGAAAAACCGAGUUAUGUGUUUGUGGAACUAAGGUCCAACACUGAAUUCCGAGAUACGUGGUUGGUGAAUUACUGAUUCAAACCUAUUCUUUGCCGAUGUUGACUGAAUAAAGACUGAACAAGACUCCUCUCACUUUAAAAGUAGCCUAAAGUUCUUCCUUAAAAUCCUUAAAAUUUUCGAUAUAAAAUAUACCUUAUCUAUACCUACCUUUUUUUUAAAAAAAAUAAAAAUAUUACUUUAUUUUAAAAACAUUUACAUUUUUAAAACGUGGCAAAUAUUUGUAAAACCUUUUCCAAGCGAUUGCAUCGAUAUUAAUCUCAAUGAGCCGUAGUUGUGUUGAAAAAAUCUACACAAAAAUGAAUAAAAGAGGAAAAAACAAGAAGCAUGCAAUCUUUGGUUUUGAUUUGACCCAUUUGUACAUUGAUCUCUCAGA
This 3194-nucleotide long non-coding RNA is filed under the name Bemisia tabaci. RNAcentral's name for it is "lncRNA ENSSSA1NGG004920". Lineage: Eukaryota; Metazoa; Arthropoda; Insecta; Hemiptera; Aleyrodidae. The record is from RNAcentral.